Molecule: long non-coding RNA, 1077 nt
Organism: Gasterosteus aculeatus aculeatus (three-spined stickleback)
Lineage: Eukaryota; Metazoa; Chordata; Actinopteri; Perciformes; Gasterosteidae
Source: Ensembl
GGGGGGGGGUGUCUCAUGCAUGGUCCAAUUGAGAUUUGAAUAUUUAUGUGCACCUGAUUUAUGCAGAUUGAGGUGGUUCAUGAUCUACUUUCGCCGUAACUAAAGUUGUGUAUUUGCAAACUAACAGCCUCUGUAAACCAAACCGAUGUCACGUUGUACAAUUGCAAAUGAGCCAAUUUGUAUACUGUUGAAAUGCAGCGGCGUGUAUCACAUCACGUGUGGAUCCUAUAACCGUAACCUUAUAAACAGAGGACUUACACUGGUAAUAAGGCGAACAUGGUUGUAUUUUCACUUCACCUGACAGAAAAACAACUGGAUGUUUAUCGCCUCUGCGGGGAGUCCAGCAGCUCUUACGUCAUCGAGUCUGGGCCAAAGGCCACGAUGAAGUUAAUUACCGGACGUGACGUCUGAACAUGAAGAAGUCUCUUCUUACUGUCGAAAUAUAUUCCUCAAUUGACGGAAGGGCGUUUUAUGAAAGUGAUGAACAAAUAGAAAAUAAACUUUGAUAACUGACAUUUUAAUCUUUGGCAAAUCCUUCUUAUUAUGGAGCCUUUUCACAGCAGACUUUUUACCAGCAGGAAAUCACAGGCCUAACUAAUGAUGUUAACAAUGUCUAUUCCAUUGUGUAAAAUAAGAUGCAGCCAUCAUUCUUGUUUUCAGAUCCUUGAUUUUACUAUUAUGAGAUGUCAAAAUGUUACACGGUUAAAACAUAGUUUGUCAUGUAUAUUAUAUUACAUGCCAACCGAAAUUGAUUAAUUACUUUUGCAUGCUUUUAAAGUGAUUUUUAUAGAAAUGCAAUUCUUGUGAGAUUCUUUAUCUUUACUUUCACUGCUCGCGUUAAAGUUGUGUUUAACUGUUUUACCAACAGGUAAACCUAAAAAAGUAACAUGGCCAUUAUUGGGGAAACAAGUUCCAGAUUAUCUUCACACUAAAUUCCCUUUUGCAAACUAUAACUGCCAGCGCAUUAUAUUUGUGAUAAUAAUAUGUAUGUUCAUAUGGAUUAAAGAAGGAACUAUAAUGGCUAAAAUAGGAAUGUAUUCUCCCUUCUUCAUUCUGUAUAUUCAAUUCAAUUCAAUU